RNAcentral lists this ribosomal RNA (497 nucleotides) under uncultured bacterium. RNAcentral describes it as "partial 16S ribosomal RNA". It matches the Rfam family "Bacterial small subunit ribosomal RNA", at positions 28 to 507 of the family's 1533-position model. The record is from RNAcentral.
GAUGAACGCUGGCGGCGUGCCUAAUACAUGCAAGUCGAGCGUACAGAUGAGGAGCUUGCUCCUCUGACGUUAGCGGCGGACGGGUGAGUAACACGUGGAUAACCUACCUAUAAGACUGGGAUAACUUCGGGAAACCGGAGCUAAUACCGGAUAAUAUAUUGAACCGCAUGGUUCAAUAGUGAAAGACGGUUUUGCUGUCACUUAUAGAUGGAUCCGCGCCGCAUUAGCUAGUUGGUAAGGUAACGGCUUACCAAGGCAACGAUGCGUAGCCGACCUGAGAGGGUGAUCGGCCACACUGGAACUGAGACACGGUCCAGACUCCUACGGGAGGCAGCAGUAGGGAAUCUUCCGCAAAGGGCGAAAGCCUGACGGAGCAACGCCGCGUGAGUGAUGAAGGUCUUCGGAUCGUAAAACUCUGUUAUUAGGGAAGAACAAAUGUGUAAGUAACUAUGCACGUCUUGACGGUACCUAAUCAGAAAGCCACGGCUAACUACGUG